Molecule: long non-coding RNA, 1945 nt
Organism: Ctenopharyngodon idella (grass carp)
Lineage: Eukaryota; Metazoa; Chordata; Actinopteri; Cypriniformes; Xenocyprididae
Exons: 3
Source: RefSeq, a predicted model, not a curated record
UGUGUCUGGAGCGCCCUCUAGUGCUGGUAGGGCAUCAGAGGGCAGGUCAGUGGGAGUGGGCUUGCCCUCAGCCUGCUCCUCAUUGGGGGUGUUCAGGUUUGAUGGGGAAUGUUUGCUGUUGGUGCAAGUGGACCUGAAUGAAAAUACAUUUAAGAUGGAAGAAGACAGAAACACAACUGUUAAGCAUUCUGUCAGGAUACUUCUCUGGAGGAUGAAAAAACAUGAUGAAUUGAAAGGUGCAAGGUUAUGGCCUGCUCAAAUGAUUGGCAGAAUCUCCACCUCAAUGUCUGUGUUGUAAAACUGUCGGCCCACCUGAGAGAGCUGCCCUACAGAGAAGCCACAACAGACGUUUUUUGAAUUUUAAACAGCCUGAGGCUACAAACACUGUGGCUGACCAGCUUUCACUGUUUUCGUUUAUCGGAUCCACAUUCACAGUGGACGAAGCGGAUGUUGACAGUAACAUCAAUGUCCAGUCCCACCCCGCAGACGUCUCGCAGCCCAACCCAGAGCCCAACCCGUCUCCACCCCAAUCGACGGACUGUACGCCAGAGCCCCCCGCAGACUGGAUGCUUCUGCCUGCCGUGACCGGUGAGCCAGUACCUCAGGAAAGGAGGACAACGCACACCAUCGACCCAGAGUCGAAGCUGAUAGACGUGUCUGACCCGGGGUGUGAGCCGACGUCAUGUUCCAGUACCUCGUGGAAUAUGAGGGUAUGAAUGCGAGUCCCACCCACCUCUUGAAACAGCCAUCAGGACUGCUUUAUUUUUCGUUGGGUUUUGUUCUGUUCUCCCAUCUGUCUCUCUGUCCUCAGCCUCACCUACCACACAGUCGUCAGUGUUCCCCAUCAGUCCCGCUGCAUCUCCAUCACCUCUCUCAGUGGCGUGGACACUCCGCGGACCUGCCGGGAACCACUUCCUCAUGGGUGUCUUGAGCUCGUGGCUCCGCCUACAGCCUCUGAGCAUGCUGAUCCACCUCAACCGGUCGUCCUGACUCCUACGCCGAUGCUCCUUCCACACUCGUUUCCGGCAGUGACCAUCAGCCAUUCGGCCUCACCGGAUUCCUUCGGACCGUCGGCUCUACCCAGGUCAGACCUCGCCAGGCCUCCACGUCGGACUUACGGGCCGUCCGUUGCCCUCCGGCCCUCCACCCCUUCGGCUCCGGCAAGCUCCACCUUCCCUGAGGCAUCACCUCCGCCCUCACUCAUCCCAGCUCGACCUCUGGCCUCCGGAUCCCUACCGUCUCCUCGGAGGGGCGCCGCUUUGGCUCCGUCACGGCCACCCUGGUCUUCAGCGUCCCAUCACUCCCUCAGCUCUCCGGCGGUGUCGUGGGCUUGCCAAACCAAAGUUAUAGUUCCAUUGAUCGUCACCAGGAUGUCGACAGCCGAGUCGACACAUUGGCUCCUCCCUCCAUCUACUCCACCGUGGGCUGUGGUUCUGGUCAGGCUCUGGGUCUGCACCAUCUGGGCUCUCUAUACUUCUCCUCCGUGGCUGCUACCUCCAUCUACUCCUCCAUGGUUUAUUCCAUCUGCCUCGACCUUCUCUCUGCCUGCUCCUCUCUCCAUCCCUGCGUCUUCUCCUCACCCACCUCCCAAGCCCCCACCAUCCCUCCUUCUGCUCUUCUGUUACGGCGCGAGGACGCGCCUUUCCGAGAGGGGGCGUAAUGUUACAGUUUCGUUUAGUUAGUUUCAUUCUCAUGGACUCUUAUUUUGUCACUUUCAGUCACAUGUGUUCCAUUGUUUAGUUUUCCAGCUUCUCCUUUGUUGUCAUGGUUACUUAUAUGAUUUGCUAUCACUCUCAGCUGUUUCCGUUUAAUCUCCUCAUUUACCUGUGUAUUUAAGUUCCUGUGUUUUCAGUGCAUGUUGUCCGGUCUCGUUUAUGUUAUGCUGUUGCUACCCUGUUGGAAUCUCCUGUGUUUUAUUAAAGACUUACUAGAAUACUCAUCUUCA